RNAcentral lists this ribosomal RNA (401 nucleotides) under uncultured bacterium. RNAcentral's name for it is "bacterial SSU rRNA". It matches the Rfam family "Bacterial small subunit ribosomal RNA", at positions 355 to 772 of the family's 1533-position model. The record is from RNAcentral.
UGAGGAAUAUUGCCCAAUGGAGGAAACUCUGAGGCAGCGACGCCGCGUGGGUGAUGAAGGCCUUCGGGUCGUAAAGCCCUUUUCUGCAUGACGAGCAAGGACGGUAGUGCAGGAAUAAGUCCCGGCUAACUACGUGCCAGCAGCCGCGGUAAAACGUAGGAGGCAAGCGUUAUCCGGAGUUACUGGGCGUAAAGCGUGCGUAGGCGGAUGGGUAAGUGGGUGGUGAAAGCGCUCGGCUAAACCGGGCGAGUGCCAUUCAGACUGCUCGUCUAGAGGCGGAUAGAGGGGUGCGGAAUUCCGGGUGUAGCGGUGAAAUGUGUAGAGAUCCGGAGGAACACCAGUGGUGCAAACGGCGCCCUGGGUCCGAACUGACGCUGAUGCACGAAAGCGUGGGGAGCGAA